Molecule: ribosomal RNA, 440 nt
Filed under: uncultured bacterium
Lineage: Bacteria
Description: partial 16S ribosomal RNA
Rfam family: Bacterial small subunit ribosomal RNA
Source: RNAcentral
CCUACGGGGGGCAGCAGUGGGGGAUAUUGCACAAUGGGGGAAAGCCUGAUGCAGCGACGCCGCGUGUGGGAAGACGGUCUUCUGGAUUGUAAACCACUGUCCCCAGGGACGAAAAUGACGGUACCUGGGGAGGAAGCUCCGGCUAACUACGUGCGAGCAGCCGCGGUAAGACGUAGGGCGCAAGCGUUGGCCGGAAUUACUGGGUGUAAGGGGAGCGUAGGCGGGGAUGCAAGUGGGGUGUCAAAACUACCGGCUCAACCGAUAAUCGCACCCAAAACUGCAGCUCUUGAGUGAAGUAGAGGCAGGCGGAAUUCCUAGUGUAGCGGUGAAAUGCGUAGAUAUUAGGAGGAACACCAGUGGCGAAGGCGGCCUGCUGGGCUUUUACUGACGCUGAGGCUCGAAAGUGUGGGGAGCAAACAGGAUUAGAUACCCUUGUAGUC